RNAcentral lists this ribosomal RNA (478 nucleotides) under uncultured bacterium. RNAcentral's name for it is "partial 16S ribosomal RNA". It matches the Rfam family "Bacterial small subunit ribosomal RNA", at positions 28 to 523 of the family's 1533-position model. The record is from RNAcentral.
GAUGAACGCUGACAGAAUGCUUAACACAUGCAAGUCUACUUGAUUCUACUUCGGUAGUUGAUGGUGGCGGACGGGUGAGUAACGCGUAAAGAAUCUGCCCUUUAGUUUGGGAUAACCUUUGGAAACGAAGGCUAAUACCGGAUAUUAUGGAGACGUCGCAUGACGACUCCAUGAAAGCUAUAUGCGCUAGAGGAGGACUUUGCGUCCCAUUAGUUAGUUGGUGAGGUAAUGGCUCACCAAGACCGCGAUGGGUAGCCGGCCUGAGAGGGUGAUCGGCCACAAGGGAACUGAGACACGGUCCUUACUCCUACGGGAGGCAGCAGUGGGGAAUAUUGGACAAUGGGCCACAAGCCUGAUCCAGCAAUUCUGUGCGCGCGAUGAAGGUCUUCGGAUUGUAAAGUGCUUUCAGUAGGGAAGAAAAAAAUGACGGUACCUACAGAAGAAGCGACGGCUAAAUAUGUGCCAGCAGCCGCGGUAA